This 207-nucleotide ribosomal RNA is filed under the name uncultured bacterium. Its description in RNAcentral is "partial 16S ribosomal RNA". It matches the Rfam family "Bacterial small subunit ribosomal RNA", at positions 568 to 774 of the family's 1533-position model. The record is from RNAcentral.
CGCGUAGGCGGUUUGGCAAGUCUGGUGUGAAAUCUCACAGCUCAACUGUGAAACUGCAUCAGAAACUGCCAGGCUAGAGUGCGGGAGAGGAGAGUGGAAUUCCCAGUGUAGAGGUGAAAUUCGUAGAUAUUGGGAAGAACACCGGUGGCGAAGGCGGCUCUCUGGACCGCAACUGACGCUGAGGCGCGAAAGCUAGGGGAGCAAACG